This 77-nucleotide transfer RNA is filed under the name Sphaerodactylus townsendi. RNAcentral's name for it is "tRNA-Ala". Lineage: Eukaryota; Metazoa; Chordata; Lepidosauria; Squamata; Sphaerodactylidae. The record is from RNAcentral.
AGUGGCAGUGGCUCAGUGGGAAAGUGUGUGGCUUGCAUCGCAGAAGGCUGCAGGUUCAAUCCCGGGUAACUCCACUU